This 238-nucleotide ribosomal RNA is filed under the name Escherichia coli. RNAcentral's name for it is "partial 23S ribosomal RNA". It matches the Rfam family "Bacterial large subunit ribosomal RNA", at positions 2711 to 2925 of the family's 2925-position model. Lineage: Bacteria; Pseudomonadati; Pseudomonadota; Gammaproteobacteria; Enterobacterales; Enterobacteriaceae. The record is from RNAcentral.
GGUGUUCGGGUUGUCAUGCCAAUGGCACUGCCCGGUAGCUAAAUGCGGAAGAGAUAAGUGCUGAAAGCAUCUAAGCACGAAACUUGCCCCGAGAUGAGUUCUCCCUGACUCCUUGAGAGUCCUGAAGGAACGUUGAAGACGACGACGUUGAUAGGCCGGGUGUGUAAGCGCAGCGAUGCGUUGAGCUAACCGGUACUAAUGAACCGUGAGGCUUAACCUUACAACGCCGAAGGUGUUU